Long non-coding RNA from Saccostrea cuccullata (small rock oyster), 894 nucleotides. RefSeq lists it as uncharacterized. NCBI's taxonomy places the organism in Eukaryota, Metazoa, Mollusca, Bivalvia, Ostreida, Ostreidae. The record is from RefSeq and is a predicted model, not a curated record. The transcript is spliced from 4 exons.
CAGUACAGUUAAGGCAACACAUGAAAAAAAUAUGGUAAUGAAGUCAUAAUGAGGUCUGACGUCAUGACAGUUGCUCCGCCCUGAUUGAUCCAUAUAAGGAAAUGGUGCUCAAAAUAACUAUUUACCGAUAUUGGCAACAAUUUGUAAUAAACAGCAAUAUCUUCAUGUUUAAAUAGAAAAUAAUUAGUGAUUUUCUCGUAUAUAAAAUAGCAUGUCUUUAAAAUAAUUCUCUUUUUAAUGUGUCGUUUGUCUGCAUUCGGCUUCAGCCAAGCGCUUGCACUCGGUGACACGGAAUGUUGUUUACAUCUAAAAACGUGGCGACAUCAGCUGAGAUUUGCAGUGGAUUUAAAUGCAAUAACCACACAAUCUUUAAAGAAAAUAGGGAUAAAAUAAGAGACAAGGCAUUGCUUCUCCAUUUUACAAGACUAUGAGGACAUUAUUUCGGAAAAUAGCUGAAAACUGAGACGAUUUGCAACAGCUCUAGAUCCGGAGAUCAAUCACUGCACUGUAAUAUUCCAGGCCAGCUGUCCAGAGUUUCAAGCUUAAAGAGUGAAUAAAUAAAAAAUGCAUCAUUUCUCCACAGGGCCUAGCUAUUCCCAGAUGUUGGACAAAUGGAUUCAUUCAGGCAGCAAGUUAAUCCAUCAUUUAAGGAAAAUGAAUUCAUUUUAUCCACAAGAACAUGAGGUGAUGGAAAUAAUUUGUACCUGCCCAGCAUUCCUACAGUCUGUCAUUGGAUUUGAAAAGAAAUGUUUAUUAAAUAAAUUUUCUAGAUAAAUAUUAAUUUGACUUUUUCAUAUAUUUAAUGUACAGGUGUUGAAAAGGCCAUUAAGAUUUGAAAAUCUUAACUUUCUUACUAUUUUGUGUGGAGGGUACUAAUGAUCAUCAAGAUCUUAU